CUGCCCUGGUGACCAAUCAGGGCAGGUCUCGCGGAUCGUGCUCCACUGCCUCUAAUCUUCAAAAAUAACCGUGCGAUUAAGGUCGGUUUGAUCCGACGGUCCACAUUCAUUUGAGGGGACUAUAUAAGCAAGGCCUCUCCACCCCAAGGGAAGAGGAGAAAUCAUUAUCAGAGGAAGCCAUCAAAGUUAGGGUUUUAGAACUUCUCUCCCGUAGAGAAUUAGAAUUAGCUACUCCCAAUUCCUUCAAGUUCUAUAGGAUUGAUUAGAUAGAAUUAGAGAAGUAGAGCACUACGCUCUGUUUCAGAUCAUCAUCAAUAAAGAUUGGUAUUAUUUCAUAUCUUUCUCUACUACUUUAUUCUAAUUUUAUUAUGUCUCUAUUUAUUAUGUUCUUAGUUUGCUCUAGUUCUGUAUUUGAUAUAGUUAUGAUUGAUAAUGAGUUUAUUUAUAA
Molecule: long non-coding RNA, 448 nt
Filed under: Sorghum bicolor (sorghum)
Lineage: Eukaryota; Viridiplantae; Streptophyta; Magnoliopsida; Poales; Poaceae
Description: long non-coding RNA (SBIC_LNC002570)
Source: RNAcentral